GUUUUUUAUGAAGAAAUACUGCAUCUACAUCAGUAUCGGACAAUAUUUAAGCUGAUACCGUGUCAUCCCUGAUAGUGAUUGUCCUAAUUUAAAAUAAGAUUAUUCCAAGAACUCCCAGAGCGCUAUUAAAGUUUCUUUUCAUACCCGUGUACUAAAAACGGCUGGAAGUGAAAUAUGACAGCUUAUACUCCGUGUUGAUUCCACGUCACUACAUGAAAAACUGUUGUUGAGCUUACAUUGUUGAUCUAACUGCUAUUUUCUUGGUGGGCGUGUUUAUUUCCUCUGCCCUCUGUGCAGGUUGUUCUGCAGUCUUUCACUGUGAUCUCUGGGGACAUGAGCUGACACCAGGCUGGCCUGGCUUUUGUGCUGUGCUCUGUGCAACACAACCCCCUUGUACUGUCAGAGCCAAUCUCCCCUCCCUCACCCCGAACACAGAGACAAAUACACGUGCGCUCUGGUGUUGGCAGAGUGGCGGGCGGUGAGGCUCCGUGUGAUGGCUCAGCGGAGGGAGGCAGGAUGUCGCAGCCCCACAGAGGGCUAGUGAGCGUGGGGGUGCUGCUGGUGGCGGCCGGGGUCAUCCUCGUCAUGUUCUCUACAAUAUACACAGGCAUCAUUGGAAUGCUCCUGGGUGGCCUGGGCUUCUGCAUCCUCAUCUACUCCUUCUGCCAAGUGAUGAAGUCCAGCAGUCACAUGACCAUCCCAGGUCACUUCCUGCUCCACCCGCGCACCGGCACCCGUUACACCUACGAGCAGGCCAUCGCUCUGCAGAGGAGGCUAGACAGAAUCCGCAGGGCUUCAGCUGAAGAGCAGCGUUCAGUCCAGCGCUCAGACACGACACACACCAGUCUCCACAGCCUGCCCGGUACCCCCCCGCCAUGGGACAUGGAGCCCCCACCAUCCUAUGAGACAGUCAUGAAGACCACCACAUCCCUCAACCAGCUAUGAUCACUGCUGUGCCCUCAUGACCCUGUGAGGGUGAUGCUAACCAGGAUUAAGAGCUAGGUGCUAAUGCUAGCUAAAUAGUUAGCCAGAUAGCCAAAAGUUGCCUGUAAGUAUUUAGCAUUUGUAUUGUUAUCAAACCACUCAGGCUGAAUGAGUACCAUAAGUGACCACUGACUUUGACCAUGUAAUGUAUUCCUCUUCAGUAACAUUAUUUGCUUACUGCUAGUCACAUGGCUUUUAAUGGCAUCAAAAUACCAAGUAAAGUGCAAAUUGAAUCCAGCCACUGCAGGAAACUGUGGUUUUUGGUUUCCUUUCUUGUAAGGACAUGUUCAAAACCACAGAGGAGUCAUUCGUUCUUAGAGCUGCGCAACCAAGGUUUUAUAUGCUGGUUGACUGUAACUCUCUUUUAGAGUCAGUGUAAAAUCUCAUUAAUCAGGACACAGAAAGAAAGUUUAUGGCCAAAAUAUGAGAAACAACUGGCUGGUAUAAAUGUUAAGCAUGCAAUUUCCAAGACUUUUUCCAAUUUCCAGGCUUCUUUGCUCUUCAAUGUCUUAAGAUCACAGGUGAUCAACUUGCAGUAUAAUUAGUAGGUAAACAAAUAUACACUAUAUUGCCAAAAGUCUUCACUCACCCAUCCAAAUCAUUGCAUUCAAGUGUUCCAAUCACUUCUAUGACCACAGGUGUAUAAAACCAAGCACCUAGGCCUGCAGACUGUUUCUGCAAACAUUUAUGAAAGAAUGGGUCACUCUCAGGAUCUCAGUGAAUUCCAGCGUGGUACCAUGAUGGGAUGCUACUAGUGCAACAAGUCCAGUCAUGAAAUUUUCUCACUACUAAAUAUUCCACAGUCAACUGUCAGUGGUAUUAUAACAAAGUAGAAUGACAGCAGCUCACCCACAAAGUGUUAGGCCACAUAAAAUGGCAGAGCAGGGUCAGUGUAUGCUAAGGCGCAUAGUGCACAGAGGUCGCCAACUUUCUGCAGAGUCAAUCACUACAGAUCUCCAAACAUCAUGUGGCCUUCAGAUUAGCUCAAGAACAGUAUAGAGAGCUUCAUGGAAUGGGUUUCUGUGGCCGAGCAGCUACAUCCAAGCCUUACAUCACCAAGAGCAGUGCAAAGUAUUGAAUGCAGUGGUGUAACGCGCCGCCACUGGACUCUGAGCUCUAGAGCUGUGGAGAAGUGUUCUGUGGAGUGAUGAAUCAUCCUUCUACAUCUGGCAAUCCGAUGGAUGACUCUGGGUUUGCCGGUUGCCAGAACGGUACUUGUCUGACUGCGUUGAGCCAAGUAUAAAGUUUGGUGGAGGGGGGAUUGUGGUGUGGAGUUGUUUUUCAGGAGUUGGGCUCAGCCCUUUAGUUCUAAUGAAAGGAACUCUUAAUGCUUUAGCAUGCUCCCAACUUUGUGGGAACAGUCUGGGGACGGCCCCUUCCUGUUCCAACAUGGCUGCACACCAGUGCCCAAAUCAAGAUCCAUAAAGACAUGGAUGAGCGAGUUUGGUAUGGAAGAACUUGACUGGCCUGCACAGUGUCCUGACCUCAACCUGAUAGAACCCAUUUGGGAUGAAUUAGAGCGGAGACUGCGAGCCAGGCCUUCUCGUCCAACAUCAGUGUCUGUUCUUACAAAUACAGUCCUGGAAGAAUGGCCAAAAAUUCCUAUAAAAACACUCCUAAACCUUGUGGAAAGCCUUCCCAGAAGAGUUGAAGCUGUUAAACGGUGGGCCAACAUCAUAUUAAACCCUAUGGAUUAAGAAUGGGAUGUCACUGCAUUUCAAAUGCGUGUGAAGACAGACGGGUAUAUAUAUAUAUAUGGAAAGACUACAUACAGUACAUCAAGCCUGGGAAAACCCUUCUUAAGGGCAGAGCCAUGGAUGCCUUAAAGGGGAAUUCCACCAAUAUUUCAAAAUGUUUUGCAUAAUUCUGCUGUUGCAAGGCACACUAAUACCCAAAAAAAGUUUAUUUGUUCAAUUUUUAUCAGAAUCAACAUUACAAAAACUCGCUCACUGGUCAUUUGGGAUAGCGAAUUAAAUGGCCAUAUUUGCAUUGUAGAAAUUGCAAUCACUGGUUCCUGUUACCACUGUAAAGAAAUCGAAUUCAACAAGUUUCUCUACAGUGCACUGUUUCACAUCAAACCACUCUGAAUAACUUUGUUUAUAACUCAGCAAUUGAAUUAUGCAGAAUAUUUUUUUUAUUCUGCAGAAUAUUUUUGUUCUCCAGGGUAUUUUUUGGUUUGUCCAUCUGAAUGUGCAUGUCCAAAUCGUAAGGCAAAUUAUUCAGUAACUGCAUGAAAGAAAUGCAGAUUUUUUCUUUACUUAAUUUUUUAUGUAAAAGCUCCCCUCAGAUUAACAGAAAAUGUGUUUUAUGAUCACACAGGUAUUGCGAUAUGCUUUCAAUUUACUGCUGAAAGCCAAAUAUCUUUGAUGCUCUUUGUAUUUUUUUAUAAAAAUAAUUUUUACAGAGCAGAUCACUGAAGAGACACCAUCUGUUUAUAGUUUAUAGCCCAGAUUUAUGGAAAAAUGGGUUGACUUUCAGUAGACAAAAAAAAUGUUCAGCUUCUUUUAUUAUAAGGGUUUAAAAUUACAUACAGUUACAGCUCUCAAAUGACACCCACUUUUUGAAUGUAGCUUAUGAAAUAUGAAAGUUAUGAAGAAUAUGACGAAGUGCAUUUUGGAACCACUGGUGGUUCCAAGGAGUUUAAGAGGCUACAUAUCUGGAAUCCCCCUUAAUAAAUAUAACUAAUAAAGAUGUGUUGGCUAAUGUAGGUGAGGCGUUUGAUAUUGACGAGUUUGAAUGCAUUAAAAAAAAUCUCCUUUUCAUAGUUUAUUAGUCAUUUUGACAGUAAAAAGAGGAAGAUCUGGUUUGGUUAUUCAUACGUGUUUGCAAAAGUUCUUGUUUCCAAAAUAUCAGUGCUUGUAUGUUUGAUAUAGCUGGUAAUCGCUUGCUUUGCUAGCUAAAAGCGUCUGCUGUUAUACCUGGACAGUGCCUAUUUUUGAAAACAUGAAUUUAAACACUGAGUAGUGCCUUGGACCAUUAAUCAGAAUUCUACCUUCUAUGUUGUGGACUGGCAUGUAUCAGUUUUACUUUUUGUUUUUGUUUUAUGUUUUUUGUGACAUGUGUAAGACAGGAAAGGGGGUGGGGUACUACACUUACUUUAAACACUUAUUUACCGUGCUUUGUACCUUUAUAUGGGAGUCUGUGCAUAGGGAAUUUUGAUGGAAGCACUUGUUUCAUACUAUGUGAGUUUCACUUGUUAUUGUAUAUCGCUGUUUGUGUUUUCUGUUCUUCAGUGGUUUACUGUUUGUUUAAAGCCACCUUCAAAUAAAGGAUCAUUUGAAUAAAUCGAGCCAAUUUUCA
This is a long non-coding RNA of Pygocentrus nattereri (red-bellied piranha), 4284 nucleotides long. NCBI's taxonomy places the organism in Eukaryota, Metazoa, Chordata, Actinopteri, Characiformes, Serrasalmidae. The record is from Ensembl.